UACAGAGGGGGCAAGCGUUGUUCGGAAUUACUGGGCGUAAAGGGCGCGUAGGCGGCCUUCUAAGUCGAACGUGAAAUCCCUGGGCUCAACCCAGGAACUGCGUCCGAUACUGGAAGGCUUGAAUCCGGGAGAGGGAUGCGGAAUUCCAGGUGUAGCGGUGAAAUGCGUAGAUAUCUGGAGGAACACCGGUGGCGAAGGCGGCAUCCUGGACCGAGAUUGACGCUGAGGCGCGAAAGCCAGGGGAGCAAACGGG
RNAcentral lists this ribosomal RNA (253 nucleotides) under uncultured bacterium. RNAcentral's name for it is "partial 16S ribosomal RNA". It matches the Rfam family "Bacterial small subunit ribosomal RNA", at positions 524 to 776 of the family's 1533-position model. The record is from RNAcentral.